Talpa occidentalis (Iberian mole) is the source of this 1604-nucleotide RNA transcript. RefSeq lists it as uncharacterized. The record is from RefSeq and is a predicted model, not a curated record. The transcript is spliced from 8 exons. NCBI's taxonomy places the organism in Eukaryota, Metazoa, Chordata, Mammalia, Eulipotyphla, Talpidae.
UAUAUAAUGUAAUAUGUUUUAUUAUAAAUCUGAAUUUUUAGGCUAAUGUAUUAUAAAUGCAUAAAGAAGGUAUGGAAGUUUCAGUUUUACACAACACCUUGUACUGAAUGUACAAAAGCAAGUUUAGAAUUAUUACAGACAGAAAAACACAAGCAUUAUGUAUAUUUUUGACAUAUUUGAUGUGAGCAGAAAUAUUUCAUUGGUUUUUCUGCACCUACCAAUGCAUCCCAUUUGUGGAGUAGAGAGAAUGCAGUGAUCACUGCAAUAGGGAAAACACCUACCUGAAAAUUACUUUUCAGAAAAUUCAUUGUCAGGUAGCCAGAAGUAGUCAUGGGGGGGGGGGCAAAAGUUUCCCUAAUUAUGGUGUUUUCAUUCAGGCUAAGAGGAAGAUUCACCCAACUCCCUCUUUCUCCCCAAUUAUGUGUUGUUAACAUGACAGGGAUUUGAAGGAGUUACUUGGCAGAAGUUUUAUAGUUACUAACCUAUGAACAUUUGUAUUUCUAGUGUUCAAUGGAAAGAUAUUUUUCUGUUACUGUGUUGAUACAUUUUCUUUUACUGCCCCCUUAGCUUUGACCUCUUUUCCCCAGAAAGUAUUAAUAUUACCCUUUGGUCUUUACUAACUAUCCAGCUCAUCAAUAUUAUUUAGGCCCUCUUUCUUGGUAACCUUCCACUAUUAAUGGUAUUGGGUUAUGUUGCCCUGCUGUGCUUUUAACAUAUUAAAGAUUCUAUUUUUAGUGUAUAGCUUCUAUAAAACAUUCUGUAGAUUAUUUUGUUUGUAUAUUGCUUAUAUGUUUUUACAAUAGUUUCAUUCUGCCUUGUUUUAGUUCUUGUGUUUCUCUCUGAUGGGAUACAACGAGCUAUGUUAACUCUCCUAAUUACCCGAACUAGUAUGACGAGAUUGCAAGUGGAGAAAGCAAGGACUAGAAAACUUCUUGUGCUUAUCAGCUGCAGACAUGCAAUAGACCUUACAUAAAUGCUUGGUGAAUGGAUUAGUUAGAAGAGCACCGUGCAGCAAGUCACCUGCGUGGUCCAUUCGAGCUGCAGAUUUGUCUGUCAUCCUUGUACAACAGUGUUCUCCUCCACUGCCGCUCCAGGGAAGUGCAUCACCUACCAGCAUACUGGAGCAAAAUGAAAGAGUUUAUUUUGAGGCCUCCGAAGUAGUGCUGCCACAGACCAUGAGCAAGAGAGGAAGAGUGGACUUCAGCCUGCACAACUGGUCUUGAAACACAAGUGGUUUGGGGUCUAGGUGUUUUACAUUGAGUUUCUCUACUGCCACCCUUUCUACUCAAACAAAAUCUGGGUGAAAAGAUCUUCUGGAAAAGAACUGACUGCUUAUGUUUCUCCAUUGUGAUGAAAGCACAUGGUACAGUUUUCCAAAGAAAUUAGUCCGUUUUCUUGGUGAAGAGGAACCAAUCUGCUGUUUUCAUAGGAUUGCUCGCACUGCUCGGUGAAAGGAAGAAAGAGCCGUCCUGCCCAAACCCAGGAGCACUCCAGCUUCCUGUGGAAGUCUCCAUGGUGAAGGAUAGGCUGGGGCUAUCUGUGAACAGCGCACAGUGAAUGUUAUUCCAGAGCUGCUGCUGGCCGAUCGCACCCACGGGGAGAUG